CGUAGGUGGCAAGCGUUGUCCGGAUUUAUUGGGUUUAAAGGGUGCGUAGGCGGCCCUGUAAGUCAGUGCUGAAAUAUCCCGGCUUAACCGGGAGGGUGGCUUUGAUACUGCAGGGCUUGAGUAAAGUUGAGGUAGGCGGAAUUGACGGUGUAGCGGUGAAAUGCUUAGAUAUCGUCAAGAACACCGAUAGUGUAGACAGCUUACUAAGCUUUAACUGACGCUGAGGCACAAAAGUGUGGGGAUCAAACAGGAUUAGAUACCCUGGUAGUCCACACUGUAAACGUUGAAGACUCGCUGUUGGCGAUACACAGUCAGCGGCUGAGAGAAAUCGUUAAGUCUUCCACCUGGGGAGUACGCCGGCAACGGUG
This 368-nucleotide ribosomal RNA is filed under the name uncultured organism. Its description in RNAcentral is "bacterial SSU rRNA". It matches the Rfam family "Bacterial small subunit ribosomal RNA", at positions 526 to 896 of the family's 1533-position model. The record is from RNAcentral.